ACUCCUACGGGAGGCAGCAGUGGGGAAUAUUGCACAAUGGGCGCAAGCCUGAUGCAGCCAUGCCGCGUGUGUGAAGAAGGCCUUAGGGUUGUAAAGCACUUUUAUGUAGGAAGAAGGUAUGUGUGUUAAUAGCACAUGUAAUUGACGGUACUACAAGAAUAAGCACCGGCUAACUCCGUGCCAGCAGCCGCGGUAA
Molecule: ribosomal RNA, 196 nt
Filed under: uncultured Enterobacterales bacterium
Lineage: Bacteria; Pseudomonadati; Pseudomonadota; Gammaproteobacteria; Enterobacterales
Description: partial 16S ribosomal RNA
Rfam family: Bacterial small subunit ribosomal RNA
Source: RNAcentral